CCUACGGGUGGCAGCAGUGGGGAAUAUUGGGCAAUGGGCGCAAGCCUGACCCAGCAACGCCGCGUGAAGGAAGAAGGCUUUCGGGUUGGAAACUCCUUUUCUGGGGGACGAACAAAUGACGGUACCCCAGGAAUAAGCCACGGCUAACUACGUGCCAGCAGCCGCGGUCAUACGUAGGUGGCAAGCGUUAUCCGGAUUUAUUGGGUGUAAAGGGCGUGUAGGCGGGAAUGCAAGUCAGAUGUGAAAACUAUGGGCUCAACCCAUAGCCUGCAUUUGAAACUGUAUUUCUUGAGUGCUGGAGAGGCAAUCGGAAUUCCGGGUGUAGCGGUGAAAUGCGUAGAUAUACGGAGGAACACUCGUGGCGAAGGCGGAUUGCUGGACAGUAACUGACGCUGAGGCGCGAAAGCGUGGGGAGCAAACAGGAUUAGAUACCCUUGUAGUC
Molecule: ribosomal RNA, 442 nt
Filed under: uncultured bacterium
Lineage: Bacteria
Description: partial 16S ribosomal RNA
Rfam family: Bacterial small subunit ribosomal RNA
Source: RNAcentral